CUCAGGACCCUUCAGGCAGGGUAGUAACUAGCUAUGUUCUUCAAACCCAAAGGAUUUGGCGGUUUUUUAUCUAAUCAGAGGAACCUGUAUAAUAAUCGAAGCUACACGGNGCAUNUUACCAGAGGUAGGCCUGUAUACCGUCGUCUAGACAGUUCUAAAAAGAUCUCUCGUCACGGGAUACAGUAAUGGCAGAUCAAGGUGCAGCUUACUCUGGCUGGUAUGGGUUACAAUCCAAACAGGGCUGGAUGGCUAGUUUAUAAGCGGCUUAAAAUUGGAUUUGACAGUAAUAAGUUUAAGUAAANACGUAUNAAGAUGCUAUGGGAAAC
RNAcentral lists this ribosomal RNA (326 nucleotides) under Cirolana rugicauda. Its description in RNAcentral is "partial 12S ribosomal RNA". Lineage: Eukaryota; Metazoa; Arthropoda; Malacostraca; Isopoda; Cirolanidae. The record is from RNAcentral.